Molecule: small nucleolar RNA, 91 nt
Organism: Euleptes europaea (tarantolino)
Lineage: Eukaryota; Metazoa; Chordata; Lepidosauria; Squamata; Sphaerodactylidae
Source: RefSeq, a predicted model, not a curated record
UUCCUCCGAUGAUGUUAGCACUGGGCUCGGAUUGCCAUGGCGAUGACUGUGCCCCCCCAUGUCCUUGACAUCAUGGGGGACUGAGGAGCAG